UCUUGCGCAAUGGGCGAAAGCCUGACGCAGCAACGCCGCGUGCGGGAUGACGGCCUUCGUGGUUGUAAACCGCUUUCAUCAGGGACGAAAAUGACGGUACCUGGAGAAGAAGCUCCGGCUAACUACGUGCCAGCAGCCGCGGUAAUACGUAGGGAGCAAGCGUUGUCCGGAUUUAUUGGGCGUAAAGAGCUCGUAGGCGGUUCAGUAAGUCAGGUGUGAAAGCUCUGGGCUCAACUCAGAGAAGCCACCUGAUACUGCUGUGACUAGAAUCCAGUAGGGGAGUGUGGAACUCCUGGUGUAGCGGUGAAAUGCGCAGAUAUCAGGAAGAACACCAGCGGCGAAGGCGGCACUCUGGGCUGGUAUUGACGCUGAGGAGCGAAAGUGUGGGUAGCAAACAGG
RNAcentral lists this ribosomal RNA (399 nucleotides) under uncultured bacterium. RNAcentral's name for it is "bacterial SSU rRNA". It matches the Rfam family "Bacterial small subunit ribosomal RNA", at positions 362 to 776 of the family's 1533-position model. The record is from RNAcentral.